Molecule: ribosomal RNA, 465 nt
Filed under: uncultured bacterium
Lineage: Bacteria
Description: partial 16S ribosomal RNA
Rfam family: Bacterial small subunit ribosomal RNA
Source: RNAcentral
GUCCAGACUCCUACGGGAGGCAGCAGUGAGGAAUAUUGGUCAAUGGCCGAGAGACUGAACCAGCCAAGUAGCGUGAGGGAAGACUGCCCUAUGGGUUGUAAACCUCUUUUAUGCGGGGAUAAAGGUGUCCACGUGUGGAUGUUUGCAGGUACCGCAUGAAUAAGGACCGGCUAAUUCCGUGCCAGCAGCCGCGGUAAUACGGAAGGUCCGGGCGUUAUCCGGAUUUAUUGGGUUUAAAGGGUGCGCAGGCGGCACGGCAAGCCGGCGGUCAAAUCGCGGGGCUCAACCCCGCCCAGCCGUCGGAACUGCCGGGCUAGAGUGGGCGAGAAGUGCGCGGAAUGCGUGGUGUAGCGGUGAAAUGCAUAGAUAUCGCGCAGAACUCCGAUUGCGAAGGCAGCAUGCCGGCUCCACACUGACGCUGAGGCACGAAAGCGUGGGUAUCGAACAGGAUUAGAUACCCUGGUA